This 324-nucleotide non-coding RNA is filed under the name Actinoplanes awajinensis subsp. mycoplanecinus. Its description in RNAcentral is "Bacterial large subunit ribosomal RNA". It matches the Rfam family "Bacterial large subunit ribosomal RNA", at positions 225 to 504 of the family's 2925-position model. The record is from Rfam by way of RNAcentral. Lineage: Bacteria; Bacillati; Actinomycetota; Actinomycetes; Micromonosporales; Micromonosporaceae.
ACAACCGUGAUUCCGUGAGUAGUGGCGAGCGAAAGCGGAUCUAGCCUAAACCUUGCGUGUGUGAUACCUGUCAGGGGUUGCGCGUGGGGGGUUGUGGGACCUGCUUAUCAGGACUGACAUUCUGGUGAAGAGUUACAAAGUUUCAUGCUAGUCGAACGACGUGGGAAAGUCGGCCGUAGACGGUGAGAGCCCGGUAGACGAAAGUGUGUGACCUCUUUGCAGUGUUCCCGAGUAGCAGCGGACUCCUAGAAUCUGCUGUGAAUCUGCCAGGACCACCUGGUAAGGCUGAAUACUUCCUGGUGACCGAUAGCGGACAAGUACCGU